UUCCAAGAUCCGGUUGCGGUUAUAGUUCUUAUACUCAAUCAUACACAUGACAUAUAGUCAUAUUUCACUCCAAAACACUAACU
This 83-nucleotide small RNA is filed under the name Arabidopsis thaliana (thale cress). Its description in RNAcentral is "ATSL089680". Lineage: Eukaryota; Viridiplantae; Streptophyta; Magnoliopsida; Brassicales; Brassicaceae. The record is from RNAcentral.